UUCGACAGUUCAAGGAUGAAGCCGUCGCCUGGAACAUGAGAAUCGAAAUAGUAGAGCUAUGGAAGGAAGGAAGGAGAUGGAAAAGGGUUUAAGAAAUCAGGGAACGAGGGCGGGUGCUAUCGAAGUUUCCAGCUAUCGGAUAGAGGAAUCCAAACCACUACGUUCUUCCGGAAAAUAUGUGAGUUCUGCAGUUUGAUUUGAUUUUCCAACGAAUGAGAACAACAGGUGGUAUCGAGGUAAUCAAUUAAUGAACAGUUGGGUAGCAGCACUCCAUUACAAAUGGCAGUGGUUAUGAGAUAGUUCCACUGCUGCGUUCUCUUUCUAGGGCAACCUCCGAAUUGCUAAUAUCAAUACCGCCAAGCUUCCGCCGAAGAUAUUGUGUGACAAGCGCAUGAGGGUAUGUGGGUUGUGGCUUGUGAAGCUUCUCCUUUCUAGGGGCUACGGAGCCCAUGGAACCGUUGGAGAGCCUGAAAAUGGGUGCAAUGACUACUGGAUGGGAUUGUUGGGGGCUUUUUUAUUUUUGAGGCUGAUUCGUAAGAACCCGGUUUGCACCAUGGGAGGCGUUUGCAGUCUUAAGGAGAGUGACCAAUGGCACGACACAACCCCUUUGAUUUGUUAAGUUUCUUCAUGCUUUGUCAGGAUAUGCAAACAAUGAUCACCUGAAGAAACUGACAAUGGAGAAGCUUCAUCUCUUCAAGAUAAACUUGCUGGACUACAAUUCUCUCUGCUCUGUCAUUGCAGUAUGUGAUGGAAUAUUUCAUGUUGCAAGCUCAGCUUCAUCAGGAACAAUACUAAAUCCUGAGGAAACAGCCCUACACGGAUCGGGGGUAAGGCUGCGUACAUUAUGGGAGUCUCAUGCAUUGGGUACACCCUUUUAUGUACAUUAGUUGGUUCUUGGAUGUUUCAGUAUGUGUGGUGGGGCUCAUAUCAAAUAUUUUGAGUUUCCAUUUUAUUGGAGUUGUAGUGGAUCUUUUCUAGAAGAAUCCCAUUAGAGUGGCAGCCAAGUUGGCCUCUACACAAAAAAGGUUUCUAUUCUUGUAUCCUGUCCAUUGGUUAUUAUAAAUAAAGAGCUAGGGGCAGCUAACCCAUGAUUUGAUGUUUCGAGAAAAAGGACUUUGUGAGUGUGCACUGUGGUGAUUCAAUAGCAGCCAAAGUGGUGAAGCCCAACUGCAGGCUUGGAUGGUGACAUUCCAGUAGCCUUCUUUCUCCAUCUUCUUCUUCUUCUUCUUAAUUCACUGUUUUGCCGACAUUCCAGUAGCCUUCUUUAUCCAUCGUGGCCUCUUAUUAUGUGAUCUCUGUUCCAUUAAUCCCUUAUUAUUGCUCUUCAAGUUCUUGUUUUCUUCUAUUAUUUUUAUGCACUGUUUCAGAUCUGAGAUAGGAGUGUUUUCAAAGCAUACAUGUCUGAACUUCAUUCCCUGUUUUCUGAGAGACUAUCCAUUAGAUUAGGUUGAAUUUUGACUAUGUUAUUCCCCUUCCUAAUUACUCCAAUUGACCCUAACUUGAUGUCCAGCGGACUGCUAGAUUAUGAGAUAUGCAAGUUCUCUUUACUUUCUAUUUUCUACCCAUGGGUUUGUUUUAAUCCAGCUAUUAGUUCCCUUUUAUAUUUUAACUACUUACGCAUCCCAUUAGGACCCCAUAGUAAUGUUAGUUUCAGCCCCAUCGGAUUUGAAUUUUUCAAAAUUUAUACAUAUUAAGUUUCUGUCCUAUUUCUCAGUUUGGAGGUUCACCUAGAUUCGGGUUUCUUUAGGUUGCUAAUGUUUGUUUGCUUCUUCAAUGCGUAGAUUUCCAGAAAAUGCUGAGCCGUCAAUGUGUAAAUUUUGGAAAAUGCUGAGCCAUCUCACUAUCAUAAACACAUCUCCAAUGGAGUUCAUGGUGUUUUCUAUAAAAAUUCUGAAAUUUUUUCUUGGAUAGGUAAGGGAGGGUUUAUAGAUAACAGCGAGGGGGCUCGAAUUCAAGACCUGGUGAGCAUGGGUUUUUGCACACCACAGCUCAGCACAGUUGUUAAUCAAUAUAUAAAUUCUUAAAUUACUCUGUUGCAGGUUGAACAACCUUCUGUGCCUGAUAAAUUUUGGUCUGAGAAGGAACACUGCAAGGAGAUGAUCUAGUGCAUUUCCGUGGCGGCAGGAAGCAACAGAAUGUCCUACCAAGAUGGAAGCUUCGAGUUACAAGUCACUAGAAAAGAACCUCAGUUAGGGAUGCUAUAUCCUGAAAGAUGUACCAAAGCCAGAUUUAUGUUUUCUAGUUCUGAGAACACAUGGCAUAUUGGAUUGAGCUUUUCUUCACCCAUGGUGAAAAAUGAAUCUCUUAAUCCACCGGUUUUGAUGGUUAGAUGGAACUCUUGUAACAAUGUUAAUAUUUUAGACUUUGUAAAAGUAAAGGUAGAGGAACUAGUGAUAACUAAUGGUUGGUUACUAUUCACCUACGGUGAAUAAAA
Molecule: RNA transcript, 2434 nt
Organism: Macadamia integrifolia
Lineage: Eukaryota; Viridiplantae; Streptophyta; Magnoliopsida; Proteales; Proteaceae
Gene name: cinnamoyl-CoA reductase 2-like
Exons: 6
Source: RefSeq, a predicted model, not a curated record